RNA transcript from Saimiri boliviensis boliviensis (Bolivian squirrel monkey), 2008 nucleotides. RefSeq lists it as uncharacterized. The record is from RefSeq and is a predicted model, not a curated record. Lineage: Eukaryota; Metazoa; Chordata; Mammalia; Primates; Cebidae.
AGAGGAAGGCGAAACGGUGAGGUGAAGCGGGCUGAGCCUAAUCGGAGAUGACGGAAAGUGACGGAGAGGAACGAGGGGUAAAGAGGGGUGACGAAAAGAGCCGAAGCUGGUGAAGCGGAGGGAGGGAAGAUGGCCGACAGGAGCCGGAGGGGCUUCGGGGGCUCGGCCGAGUGGGGGACGCCGGAGCCCGCGCUCUGCAGCGCCGGGACGCGGCUGCGCGGGGCGCUCCUCGCCCUCCCUGUCUCCCUAAGACACGUUUUCCUCCCGGGGGCACAAGAUGCAGAACGCGGAGGUCGCCAUCUUGGCCGCGUUCGAGCCCCGGGUGCGCGGGUCGCGCGGCGCCGCCGUCUGUCUGCAGAACGUUCGCACCUUCCCGAGCCGAACAGCUGCGUUCCGCGUCCCCGAGCCCGGGGCCGCGUGUCUUCUACGUUCCGGCCUCAGUGGGACCUCCCAGGCACGGAGGUGGCCGCGGCGCUGAGACCUCCCGGGUACGGAGGUCUUCCAGGGUCUCACUGAGGAGCAGGGCACACCGUGGUGGUAGGAUCACAGCUCACCAGCCUGGACCUCCCGACCUCCUGACCUCCAGCCAUCCUCCCACCUCAGCCUGCCCGUGAGUCACUCAGGAGCCUUGGCGGUGACCGGCUUGUGUUCAGUGGACCCCGAGAUUCACUUGGCCACGGUACAGAGCACAGGAGCCGUGAGGCUGUUGAAACUGUUCCGUUUUCCCACGGCUCACCGCAUAGGUGCCUAGUUUACAAACCAAACUUCAUCGUGGGUGCUUGUGUCCGUGGAGAGGCGCAGUCUGCAGAGACCUUGGUGCCAUCUGGGUCUCCGGCAUCCACCGGGGGUCUUGGAAUGCAUACCGCGGUCCAGGAAGGCCCAUACUGCGCUCAGGUGAAUAACGGCCCCCAAAGAUGUCCGUGCCCCCAUCCCCAGAACCUGAGAAUACAUUCCCCUUGUGGCAGAAGGCCCUCUGCAGCCGUGAUUAACUGUAGGGUGUUGAGAUGGGGAGAUUGUCUGGAUGAUCGGGUCCUGUGCAGUCACAGGGUCCUUAGACGAGGGAGCUUCGGAGAGGAAGAGGUGCCCCCAGGGGCAGGGGACUGGGGUGAUGGGGUCACAAGCCCGGGACACUUCAGCCAGGAUAGCUGGGAGAGGCGUGCAGGGCUUCCACUGGAGACUCUGGAGAAGCAAGGCCUACACGCCUUGCUGUUACCCCGGAAGACCCACCUUGGAUGUGUGAGGUCAGGAACCGAGAGGGAGUAAAUUGCACUGUGUUUAAGCCCUGGGACAUGACGCCAUGCCCAGCCCCAGAGCUGAGGAGCUGACCGCGCCCCCUUGCAAGCCGCUGAGAUGCAGGCGCAGCUGACGACCGAGUGGGCACCCUGCUGCUGCUUGGGGAGCCUGCGCCCUGGAGAGGGACUGAGCAUUCCAGGGGAGCCUGCGCCCUGGAGAGGGACUGAACAUUCCAGGGGAACCUGCGCCCUGGAGAGGACUGAGCGGUCAUCUUGGACCUGCGCCCUGGAGAGGGACUGAGCAUUCCAGGGGAACCUGUGCCCUGGAGAGGGACUGAGGGCCCCGGGGAACCUGCGCUCCGGAGAGGGACUGAGCAUUCCAGGGGAACCUGCGCCCUGGAGAGGACUGAGCGGCCCCGGGGGACCUGCGCCCUGGAGAGGGACUGAGCAUUCCAGGGGAACCUGCGCCCUGGAGAGGACUGAGCGGCCCCGGGGGACCUGCGCCCUGGAGAGGGACUGAGCAUUCCAGGGGAACCUGCGCCCUGGAGAGGACUGAGCGGCCCCGGGGAACCUGCGCCCUGGAGAGGGACUGAGCAUUCCAGGGGAACCUGCGCCCUGGAGAGGACUGAGCGGCCCCGGGGGACCUGCGCCCUGGAGAGGGACUGAGCAUUCCAGGGGAACCUGCGCCCUGGAGAGGACUGAGCGGCCCCGGGGAACCUGCGCCCUGGAGAGGGACUGAGCAUUCCAGGGGAACCUGCGCCCUGGAGAGGACUGAG